This 111-nucleotide ribosomal RNA is filed under the name Carlito syrichta (Philippine tarsier). Lineage: Eukaryota; Metazoa; Chordata; Mammalia; Primates; Tarsiidae. The record is from RNAcentral.
GUCUAUGGUCAUACCACCCCGAACACAUCCGAGUGUGUCUGAUCUCAGAAGCAAAGCAGGGGCGGGCCUGGUGAGUACUUGCCUGGGAGAGAGACAUGCAUCUCACAGGGU